AGAGUUUGAUCCUGGCUCAGAUUGAACGCUGGCGGCAUGCCUUACACAUGCAAGUCGAACGGCAGCGCGGGGCAACCUGGCGGCGAGUGGCGAACGGGUGAGUAAAUAUCGGAACAUACCCUAGAGGUGGGGAUAACGUAGCGAAAGUUACGCUAAUACCGCAUACGCACUAAGGUGGAAAGUGGGGGAUCUUCGGACCUCAUGCUCAUGGAGUGGCCGAUAUCUGAUUAGCUAGUUGGUGAGGUAAAGGCUCACCAAGGCGACGAUCAGUAGCUGGUUUGAGAGAACGACCAGCCACACUGGAACUGAGACACGGUCCAGACUCCUACGGGAGGCAGCAGUGGGAAUUUUGGACAAUGGGGCAACCCUGAUCCAGCAAUGCCGCGUGAGUGAAGAAGGCCUUCGGGUUGUAAAGCUCUUUUGUCAGGGAAGAAACGGUGAGGGCUAAUAUCCCUUGCUAAUGACGGUACCUGAAGAAUAAGCACCGGCUAACUACGUG
This 499-nucleotide ribosomal RNA is filed under the name uncultured bacterium. RNAcentral describes it as "bacterial SSU rRNA". It matches the Rfam family "Bacterial small subunit ribosomal RNA", at positions 8 to 507 of the family's 1533-position model. The record is from RNAcentral.